GGCCCCGUGGCGCAACUGAAUAGCGCAUCAGAUUUCGGCUCUGAGGGUUGGGGGUUUGAAUCCCUCCGGGGUCACUA
This 77-nucleotide transfer RNA is filed under the name Mesonia algae. Its description in RNAcentral is "tRNA-Arg". It matches the Rfam family "tRNA". From Rfam's summary of the family: Transfer RNA (tRNA) molecules are approximately 80 nucleotides in length. Lineage: Bacteria; Pseudomonadati; Bacteroidota; Flavobacteriia; Flavobacteriales; Flavobacteriaceae. The record is from RNAcentral. RNAcentral also lists the same sequence under 3 other names.